UAACGCGUGGGAAUCUGCCCUGGAGUGGGGGAUAACCGAGGGAAACCUCGGCUAAUACCGCAUACGUCCUGAGGGAGAAAGAUUUAUCGCUCUAGGAGGGGCCCGCGUCGGAUUAGCUUGUUGGCGGGGUAACGGCCCACCAAGGCUAUGAUCCGUAGCUGGUCUGAGAGGAUGAUCAGCCACACUGGGACUGAGACACGGCCCAGACUCCUACGGGAGGCAGCAGUGGGGAAUAUUGGACAAUGGGCGCAAGCCUGAUCCAGCAAUGCCGCGUGUGUGAUGAAGGCCUUAGGGUUGU
This 298-nucleotide ribosomal RNA is filed under the name uncultured Sphingomonadaceae bacterium. RNAcentral describes it as "partial 16S ribosomal RNA". It matches the Rfam family "Bacterial small subunit ribosomal RNA", at positions 111 to 426 of the family's 1533-position model. Lineage: Bacteria; Pseudomonadati; Pseudomonadota; Alphaproteobacteria; Sphingomonadales; Sphingomonadaceae. The record is from RNAcentral.